AAGACUAUAGACCUGCGGAGUACCUGCGGAAGGAUCAUUAUCGAACGAUCAUCCUUGAUCUUUCUUACCCUCAAACCACUGUGGAACACAAACACGUGCUUCGGCGUCGACCCGGCGCCGCAUUUAUGCUUCAACAAUGCCCUUUUUAGUCUGAACAGAAAUCUAAGUGUAAAAACUUUCAGCAACGGAUCUCU
This 194-nucleotide unclassified non-coding RNA is filed under the name soil metagenome. Its description in RNAcentral is "partial contains 5.8S ribosomal RNA, internal transcribed spacer 2, and large subunit ribosomal RNA". The record is from RNAcentral.